RNAcentral lists this transfer RNA (64 nucleotides) under Streptomyces flavofungini. RNAcentral describes it as "tRNA-Leu". The record is from RNAcentral. Lineage: Bacteria; Bacillati; Actinomycetota; Actinomycetes; Kitasatosporales; Streptomycetaceae.
CCCCCGGCAAGGAUUCGAUCCCACUCCUCAAGCGGGUGUCGCAGGUUCGAAUCCUGCCGGGGGU